This 468-nucleotide ribosomal RNA is filed under the name uncultured bacterium. RNAcentral describes it as "partial 16S ribosomal RNA". It matches the Rfam family "Bacterial small subunit ribosomal RNA", at positions 28 to 507 of the family's 1533-position model. The record is from RNAcentral.
GACGAACGCUGGCGGCGUGCUUAACACAUGCAAGUCGAACGGAAAGGCCCUGCUUUUGUGGGGUGCUCGAGUGGCGAACGGGUGAGUAACACGUGAGUAACCUGCCCUUGACUUUGGGAUAACUUCAGGAAACUGGGGCUAAUACCGGAUAGGAGCUCCUGCUGCAUGGUGGGGGUUGGAAAGUUUCGGCGGUUGGGGAUGGACUCGCGGCUUAUCAGCUUGUUGGUGGGGUAGUGGCUUACCAAGGCUUUGACGGGUAGCCGGCCUGAGAGGGUGACCGGCCACAUUGGGACUGAGAUACGGCCCAGACUCCUACGGGAGGCAGCAGGGGGGAAUAUUGCACAAUGGGCGGAAGCCUGAUGCAGCAACGCCGCGUGCGGAAUGACGGCCUUCGGGUUGUAAACCGCUUUCGCCUGUGACGAAGCGUGAGUGACGGUAAUGGGUAAAGAAGCACCGGCUAACUACGUG